RNAcentral lists this ribosomal RNA (253 nucleotides) under uncultured bacterium. Its description in RNAcentral is "partial 16S ribosomal RNA". It matches the Rfam family "Bacterial small subunit ribosomal RNA", at positions 524 to 776 of the family's 1533-position model. The record is from RNAcentral.
UACGUAGGGUGCGAGCGUUGUCCGGACUUACUGGGCGUAAAGAGCUCGUAGGUGGUUUGUCGCGUUGUCCGUGAAAACUCACAGCUUAACUGUGGGCGUGCGGGCGAUACGGGCAGACUGGAGUACUGCAGGGGAGACUGGAAUUCCUGGUGUAGCGGUGAAAUGCGCAGAUAUCAGGAGGAACACCGGUGGCGAAGGCGGGUCUCUGGGCCGAUACUGACGCUGAGGCGCGAAAGCUAGGGGAGCAAACGGG